CCUAUGAGCGCUAAAACUAAAAACUGUUCACGACUUCACAUACUCUAUCUCUCGCUAACCCUAAUUAGCUGAAACACCAAAAGAACCGCAUCGUACCUCUCCUCUCUAAAAAUUCGAAACCGUUCUGCUCUCUGCCAAUCUGCCAUUGAUAUUCAUCAAGGUUUGUCUUUAAUUUUAAACUUGUGCCUUUUUCAUCUUCAACCUUCUCAAUUUAAACUUCUUUUUCCCCCGGAAAUCUCUCAAAUAUGGUGAUAAUCGAACAAUGAAACGACGAACCUGCUGCAGCACCAGAGAUCAACCACAAGAAACUCGAUUCAGAACCUGAAACGAGUUCCGUCAACAACAAAGAAGAAACGAAUGGUUUCGAAACGGCUAGCGAAGGCGAUCAUUCUGAUAGAGGUGCCGACUUUGGCGACGACGAACAACAACAACAAGAAAAAUCUGCGCCAUUGACGGCUGUUAAGGAUGAUUCUUAUGAAGAUGCUCUUGAUGAUGAUCAAUUGAAACAGGGAAACUAUGAUGAGAUAGUCAAGGAAUUUUCAAAAGCUAUAGAACUAAAUCCAACAUAUGUCAAAGCUCUUCUCAGGAGAGGAGAGGCUUAUGAAAAGCUUGAACGAUAUGAAAAGGCCAUCUCUGAUAUGAAAAAAAUAUUGGAAGUGGAAGCUUCAAAUGAGCAGGCUAGGAGGAAUAUUUUUCGAAUGGAGCCAUUAUCCCGAGAAAAGGCGGAAAAGAUGAAGGAAAAAUGAUUGGACAUUGGUGAUGGAGUUUAUAUUCUAAUAGAAAAAGUCGCUAGAAAGAGUACUGGACUGGCCCUUCCCUGACCCUAUCCUUUCUGUUUACCGUGUGAUAAUAAUUCUUACUUAUCUGAUCAAGAAGCGCGGCAUGACUGUAUCUCGAGCUCUUGAAUACGUGAGAAGCAAAAGAUCGCAGGCAUCCCCUAAUUCUGGCUUAAUAAAGCAGCUCCGAUAGUAUGAACAAUCACUAGGAGGUGUGAAGUUCUUAAUGAAUUUUAUGUUUCCUCAAAUAACUAUUAUCUCUGCUGUAUUUGUCUUUCCUUUGCCAUUUAAUUAUUUUCUUGUAUUCCUCUUUGGACUUCCUUUCUUUCCGUCUAGAUCAUCUCUUUUGCUUCGCUUAUCAGAUACAAAGACACAAGGAUCAACCAGUCAGGUUGGUUAUCUGACUAUACAGUAACAAAACUAAGUGCAAUUUUGAGACAAUAGCAUAACAUUCCUGCUCAUGGCAUCGUUGCCACCAAAUACAGGGUAUGUAUUUCAAGCUGUGAGAAAUGUAGGUGUAAAAGUCGUUGUCUCAAACUUUGAUACUCGAUUAAGACCUCUGUUGAGGGUUCUGACUUGUGAACAUUGGUUUGAUGUUAUGAUCGUUUCAGCAAAACUAACUGGCUAUCAGUCGGAUUUUACUUGGAAAUGUCUGUACAUUAUUGAGUUUGAACUGGAUUUCUCUAACAGGUUGCUGCUGAGAAGCCAAAUCGAACAAUAUUUCUGAAGGCGUGUGAUCUUCUGGGUGUAAAGCCAGUGGAUGAUGUUCAUGUUGGUGAGAUCGUAGAAACGAUGUAUGGGGCGCAAGGGUUACAGGCUUCAUGUUGUUUAGCGUGUGACAAAGAUGAUAUGCGGCAACUCCAGUUUUGCAAAUAGAGAGAGUGCUAGAAUCUGCAAAUUUAGAUGUUUUAAUGCAAUAUGUGGCUUAUUUGCCUUUCUAUUUAAUUUAUUAUUUAUUUAAGGAGCCAAUAAUGGUCAUUAUGUCAAUAUUGAAACAAACGUUGUAAGUUACGUAGCACGUUCUCAUACAUUGUAACAUACACCAUAUUUCAAUAUAUGAUUUCACUUUUUAAAA
Long non-coding RNA from Spinacia oleracea (spinach), 1851 nucleotides. RefSeq lists it as uncharacterized. NCBI's taxonomy places the organism in Eukaryota, Viridiplantae, Streptophyta, Magnoliopsida, Caryophyllales, Amaranthaceae. The transcript has 6 exons. The record is from RefSeq and is a predicted model, not a curated record.